GAAACUGCGAACGGCUCAUUACACCAGCCUUAAUUUACUUGACCUUGACACCCUACUUGGAUAACUGUGGUAAUUCUAGAGCUAAUACAUGCACCAAAGCUCCAAUCUCCCCAGAGCGGAGCGCAUUUGUUCGCCACAAAACCAAGCGCCUCAGGGCGUUCAGUGUUGACUCAGAACAACUAAGCUGAUCGCACGGUCUUGCACCGGCGACGUGUCUUUCAAGUGUCUGCCUUAUCAACUUUCGAUGGUAGUGUAUCUGACUACCAUGGUGAUGACGGGUAACGGAGGAUAAGGGUUCGACUCCGGAGAAGGGGCCUGAGAAAUGGCCACUACGUCUAAGGAUGGCAGCAGGCGCGCAAAUUACCCACUCUCGACGCGAGGAGGUAGUGACGAGAAAUAACGAGACCGUUCUCAUCUGAGGCCGGUCAUCGGAAUGGGUACAAUUUAAACCCUUUAACGAGUAUCUAUGAGAGGGCAAGUCUGGUGCCAGCAGCCGCGGUAAUUCCAGCUCUCAAAAUGCAUAGAAUUAUUGCUGCGGUUAAAAAGCUCGUAGUUGGAUCUGUGCUGAGCGACCGGUCUGCCCACUGGGCACGCACUGGCUCGCCCGGCUUUCCCUGCCGGUCUCUCUCUGACGUUGGUUUUAACCGGCUGGCGUCAGUGGGCUGGCGAGUUUACUUUGAACAAAUCAGAGUGCUUCAAACAGGCGUCUCGCCUGAAUGUUCGUGCAUGGAAUAAUAGAAGAGGAUCACGGUCCGAUUUUAUUGGUUUUGCUGACCGAGAUAAUGGUUAACAGAGACAAACGGGGCCAUUCGUAUUGCUACGUGAGAGGUGAAAUUCUUGGACCGUAGCAAGACGGACUACAGCGAAAGCAUUUGGCAAGAAUGUCUUCAUUAAUCAAGAACGAAAGUCAGAGGUUCGAAGGCGAUCAGAUACCGCCCUAGUUCUGACCGUAAACGAUGCCAACUAGCGAUCCGCCGGCGGAUUCAUUCGCCCUGGUGGGGAGCUUCCCGGAAACGAAAGUCUUCCGGUUCCGGGGGAAGUAUGGUUGCAAAGCUGAAACUUAAAGGAAUUGACGGAAGGGCACCACCAGGAGUGGAGCCUGCGGCUUAAUUUGACUCAACACGGGGAAACUCACCCGGCCCGGACACCGUAAGGAUUGACAGAUUGAUAGCUUUUUCAUGAUUCGGUGGAUGGUGGUGCAUGGCCGUUCUUAGUUCGUGGAGCGAUUUGUCUGGUUUAUUCCGAUAACGAGCGAGACUCUGGCCUACUAAAUAGUUGGCACAUUGCCACUGUGUGCACAACUUCUUAGAGGGAUUUUCGGUGUUCAGCCGCACGAAAUUGAGCAAUAACAGGUCUGUGAUGCCCUUAGAUGUCCGGGGCUGCACGCGCGCUACACUGGCAAAAUCAGCGUGCUUGUCCUCCCCCGAAAGGGGUUGGUAAACCGAUGAAAAUUUGCCGUGAUUGGGAUCGGACAUUGCAAUUAUUGUCCGUGAACGAGGAAUCCCUUGUAAGGGCGAGUCAUCAACUCGUCCUGAAUACGUCCCUGCCCUUUGUACACACCGCCCGUCGCUGCCCGGGACUGAGCCAUUUCGAGAAAACCGGGGAUUGUUGGCCUGACGGCUCUCGGGUCGUCUAGCCGAUGAGAACCGGCUUAAUCGCACUGGUUUGAACCGGGCAAAAGUCGUAACAAGGUAGCUGUAGGUGAACCUGCGGCAGGAUCA
This 1721-nucleotide ribosomal RNA is filed under the name Rotylenchulus reniformis. RNAcentral describes it as "SSU rRNA". It matches the Rfam family "Eukaryotic small subunit ribosomal RNA". Lineage: Eukaryota; Metazoa; Nematoda; Chromadorea; Rhabditida; Hoplolaimidae. The record is from RNAcentral.